This 72-nucleotide transfer RNA is filed under the name Chthonomonadales bacterium. Its description in RNAcentral is "tRNA-Gly". It matches the Rfam family "tRNA". Rfam says of the family: Transfer RNA (tRNA) molecules are approximately 80 nucleotides in length. Their secondary structure includes four short double-helical elements and three loops (D, anti-codon, and T loops). Lineage: Bacteria; Bacillati; Armatimonadota; Chthonomonadia; Chthonomonadales. The record is from RNAcentral.
GCGGGAGUAGCUCAGUGGUAGAGCGCUUCCUUGCCAAGGAAGAGGUCGCGGGUUCGAUGCCCGUCUCCCGCU